RNAcentral lists this small nuclear RNA (298 nucleotides) under Chinchilla lanigera (long-tailed chinchilla). RNAcentral's name for it is "7SK RNA (ENSCLAG00000021824.1)". It matches the Rfam family "7SK RNA". Rfam says of the family: 7SK was discovered as an abundant small nuclear RNA in the mid-70s but a possible function has only recently been suggested. The record is from Rfam by way of RNAcentral. Lineage: Eukaryota; Metazoa; Chordata; Mammalia; Rodentia; Chinchillidae.
GGAUAUGAGGGUGGUCUGGCUGCAACAUCUGUCACCCUACUGACUGCCAGGGUUGACUUGGCUCCGUGAGUGUCAGUCAUCUUCCUUCCUCAACACUCAAUGUGCAGCUCUUGAAGCUGCACGCUUGGUCAAAGAGAACCAGCCACCCUGAUAGAGGAUGUUUCCUCAGUCAAGGGUAUACGAGUAGCUGCACUCCCCUGCUAGAACCUCCAAACAAGUGCCCACACAGCUUUCUCUUAGUGAUUACUACUUUAAUUUUAAAGUUAUCCGAAAGUUAUUUUUAGGAUUUCAAUUGUUC